This 30-nucleotide non-coding RNA is filed under the name Homo sapiens (human). The record is from RNAcentral. Lineage: Eukaryota; Metazoa; Chordata; Mammalia; Primates; Hominidae.
UGAGAUUCUUCAGGGUAACCCCACUGCCUU